RNAcentral lists this unclassified non-coding RNA (196 nucleotides) under plant metagenome. RNAcentral's name for it is "partial contains small subunit ribosomal RNA and internal transcribed spacer 1". The stretch from base 1 to 46 matches the Rfam family "Eukaryotic small subunit ribosomal RNA", at positions 1786 to 1831 of the family's 1831-position model. The record is from RNAcentral.
AAGUCGUAACAAGGUUUCCGUAGGUGAACCUGCGGAAGGAUCAUUAAUGAAAUUCAAGGACGCUCUUUUUUAGAGGUCCGACCAAUUCAUUUUUACCUUUUACUCUGUGCACACGCUACUUUUUUACACCAUUUUUUUACCACUUAGUUCUAAGAAUGUAAAACAAGUCUCGAAAGAGCAACAUAACAAAACAAAA